RNAcentral lists this ribosomal RNA (115 nucleotides) under Aspergillus udagawae. The record is from RNAcentral. Lineage: Eukaryota; Fungi; Ascomycota; Eurotiomycetes; Eurotiales; Aspergillaceae.
ACGACCAUAGGGUGUGGAAAACAGGGCUUCCCGUCCGCUCAGCCGCACUUAAACCACACGCCGGCCAGUUAGUAGUGGGUGGGUGACCACCAGCGAAUCCCAGCUGUUGUAUGUU